This 242-nucleotide ribosomal RNA is filed under the name uncultured bacterium. Its description in RNAcentral is "partial 16S ribosomal RNA". It matches the Rfam family "Bacterial small subunit ribosomal RNA", at positions 535 to 776 of the family's 1533-position model. The record is from RNAcentral.
CAAGCGUUGUUCGGAAUUACUGGGCGUAAAGGGCGCGUAGGUGGCCUUCUAAGUCGAACGUGAAAUCCCCGGGCUCAACCCGGGAACUGCGUCCGAUACUGGAAGGCUUGAAUUCGGGAGAGGGAUGCGGAAUUCCAGGUGUAGCGGUGAAAUGCGUAGAUAUCUGGAGGAACACCGCUGGCGAAGGCGGCAUCCUGGACCGGCAUUGACGCUGAGGCGCGAAAGCCAGGGGAGCAAACGGG